AGUGAACGCUGGCGGUAGGCCUAACACAUGCAAGUCGAACGGCAGCACAGUAAGAGCUUGCUCUUACGGGUGGCGAGUGGCGGACGGGUGAGGAAUACAUCGGAAUCUACUUUUUCGUGGGGGAUAACGUAGGGAAACUUACGCUAAUACCGCAUACGACCUACGGGUGAAAGCAGGGGAUCUUCGGACCUUGCGCGAUUGAAUGAGCCGAUGUCGGAUUAGCUAGUUGGCGGGGUAAAGGCCCACCAAGGCGACGAUCCGUAGCUGGUCUGAGAGGAUGAUCAGCAAAACUGGAACUGAGACACGGUCCAGACUCCUACGGGAGGCAGCAGUGGGGAAUAUUGGACAAUGGGCGCAAGCCUGAUCCAGCCAUACCGCGUGGGUGAAGAAGGCCUUCGGGUUGUAAAGCCCUAUUGUUGGGAAAGAAAAGCAGCAGGCUAAUACCCCGCUGUUCUGAAGGUACCCAAAGAAUAAGCACCGGCUAACUUCGUG
RNAcentral lists this ribosomal RNA (492 nucleotides) under uncultured bacterium. Its description in RNAcentral is "partial 16S ribosomal RNA". It matches the Rfam family "Bacterial small subunit ribosomal RNA", at positions 29 to 507 of the family's 1533-position model. The record is from RNAcentral.